Molecule: long non-coding RNA, 441 nt
Filed under: Salmo trutta (river trout)
Lineage: Eukaryota; Metazoa; Chordata; Actinopteri; Salmoniformes; Salmonidae
Description: lncRNA (ENSSTUG00000034888.1)
Source: RNAcentral
AGUCAAUCUUUCUCAGUGAUGUUAUCUUCUAUUGGUAUCUUCUAUUUGUAUCUUCUGCAGGUGUGUUCCUCCUUGACCCACCCGUUCAGCUAUGACGUCAUCCCUCCGGACUCUGAAGUGUGUGUCACAAUGUUUAGCAAUCAGACACAGAGAGAGGUGCGAGGGAGGGUUCGGAUCGGGAAGAAGGACAGACUGACCUUCCUUGGACAAAUUCAGUUGAACCCCUCAGAUUUACCUCAGCAUAGGGUCAAAGUUCGAGCCAACCUCACCCAUCUACUCCAGCUAUUUCAGUUGAAGCUCCCUUCGUCGGCCAUACUGGAAGGAGAUGUGUCCUGGAAUCCUAAAAAUAACAGUGUGUUUGAUUACCUAGUGAGAGGCAAAGUAGGAAUCAACCGGCAGGAGUGUCAGGUAAGAGUAACUAUUCAUUCACCACUUAGAUAA